This 420-nucleotide ribosomal RNA is filed under the name Vibrio sp. P5-27. Its description in RNAcentral is "bacterial SSU rRNA". It matches the Rfam family "Bacterial small subunit ribosomal RNA", at positions 65 to 477 of the family's 1533-position model. Lineage: Bacteria; Pseudomonadati; Pseudomonadota; Gammaproteobacteria; Vibrionales; Vibrionaceae. The record is from RNAcentral.
AGCGGAAACGAGUUAUCUGAACCUUCGGGGAACGAUAACGGCGUCGAGCGGCGGACGGGUGAGUAAUGCCUGGGAAAUUGCCCUGAUGUGGGGGAUAACUAUUGGAAACGAUGCUAAUACCGCAUAAUGUCUACGGACCAAAGAGGGGGACCUUCGGGCCUCUCGCUUCAGGAUAUGCCCAGGUGGGAUUAGCUAGUUGGUGAGGUAAUGGCUCACCAAGGCGACGAUCCCUAGCUGGUCUGAGAGGAUGAUCAGCCACACUGGAACUGAGACACGGUCCAGACUCCUACGGGAGGCAGCAGUGGGGAAUAUUGCACAAUGGGCGCAAGCCUGAUGCAGCCAUGCCGCGUGUAUGAAGAAGGCCUUCGGGUUGUAAAGUACUUUCAGUCGUGAGGAAGGCAAUAUAGUUAAUAGCUAUAU